UAAGACAGAGGCCACAAGCGUUAGGCGGAAUCACUGGGCUUAAAGCGCGUGUAGGCGGAUAUCUAAGUGCCUUGUGAAAUCCCACGGCUUAACCGUGGAACUGCUGGGCAUACUGGAUGUCUUGAGGUGUCUAGGGGUCGCUGGAACAAACGGUGGAGCGGUGAAAUGCGUAGAUAUCGUUUGGAACGCCAAAGGUGAAAACAGGCGACUGGAGACAAUCUGACGCUGAGACGCGAAAGCCAGGGGAGCAAACGGGAUUAGAUACCCCGGUAGUCCUGGCCCUAAACGAUGUCCACUAGAUCGCGGUGCUUUGACGGCUUCGCGGUCGGAGCAAAAGUGUUAAGUGGACCGCCUGGGAAGUACGGUCGCAAGGCUA
This 376-nucleotide ribosomal RNA is filed under the name uncultured bacterium. RNAcentral's name for it is "bacterial SSU rRNA". It matches the Rfam family "Bacterial small subunit ribosomal RNA", at positions 521 to 896 of the family's 1533-position model. The record is from RNAcentral.